RNAcentral lists this small RNA (961 nucleotides) under Pongo abelii (Sumatran orangutan). Its description in RNAcentral is "retained intron". The record is from RNAcentral. Lineage: Eukaryota; Metazoa; Chordata; Mammalia; Primates; Hominidae.
AGUCGGUGUUUGGGACGCUGGGCGUGCGGUGUUCUGUUUCCGCUCCCGUUUCGCUGUCACAGCCCGUUCCUUCCCGGAGCCCGGGACAGGCUGGGCGCGCGCCCGUGACGCGUGACCAAAACCAAAGACGGCCAUGAAGUGAGAUCGUGCAAAGUAGCAGAUAAAACGGGCAGCAUCACUAUUUCCGUGUGGGAUGAGAUCGGAGGUCUUAUACAGCCAGGGGAUAUUAUUCGGUUGACCAGAGGGUAUGCAUCCAUGUGGAAAGGAUGUCUGACACUUUAUACUGGAAGGGGUGGUGAACUUCAAAAAAUUGGGGAUCUAGGUGCGGUGCAGGCAGCCGCAAUGCGAGAUUCCAUACACUACUACCCUGGUAAUGAUCUCCACCCUGACCUGGAGGAGCCAUCCUCUCUAGGGGUGUAAGGUAAUUCAGCCUCCAUGUUAGCCUAGACAUUGGGUUGUAUUCAUAAAGUAUGGUACAGGCAAUGAGCCAAAUCAUCAGUCCAUUCUGUUUGGUUAAUGCUCAGCCAUCUACUUAAUGCCUGUCAAGUUGGAAGAUAUUUAAAGAGAGAAGCCACAAAUGGCACCAAAUAAAAAAGGAAAACUGUUUGCCACUGAGGGAAUAAGAUGCUUAUUUGGAGAACCUGUGGUUAAUAAUGAAGGAAAAGAAAUGAUCAUGCUAGCUUUUAAAGAUCAGAAAUGUUUAAUGCUUUGCCUUUGUUAGAAGGGAAGUUAGGAUUCACUUACAGUAGCAUUAAUAGAGUUAUGUGUUAUGAAAGGUCUUAGUGUCUGUUACUGAAAGUUUCAGGAUUCUGUCCUGACCUUCAUGUAUUCAUACAGAGGUGUUGAUAAUAAUGGAGGUCGGUUAUGUGAAACACCGUUAGAGGUCACUCAUUUCUUAAUGACUGCUCUUUGUCAGGGUCAGUCUAGGAUUUACCAAAACUGGUUCUGAUUUGUCUUCAGU